AACCAGGGCAGCUGGCACAGGGAUUGGCUUCUUGGUCUCUGAUUUCCACUCCAGCACUUUGGCCAUCAGAGGAUCCUGUGUGAGCUCAGCUGAGCCAGCCCCAACACCCCCCAGCAGCUUUUGGUGGGCAGUGGCAGCGGUCCCUGUGCAGGGCAGGAGCCUGGGGAAGCAGGGGCUGGGUGCUGCUGGUCCCUGGAAGAAGGACUUCUACCCCAGUGCUUUGUGAAGAGGACAUGAGGGCAAAGUACUAAUUUGCCCCUAGCAAGACACCCUGGAGUUAUUUAUAAAUGCGAGCCCCUGGGUGCACUUCUGACGGGACCAGCACCCUGACGGCCAUGAGAGGGUGGAGACAGCGCACCCCGAGCUCAGGGAGGCAGGAAACUCUGGACCUGGAGGCCGGGCACCAUGAGGGACACGCUGCAGGCCCAGCUGCUGCCGCCUGGGGCGGGGCUGCCCUGCAGGCUCCGGGAAAACCCAGAACCAGGCCGGAUCAGCGUGUGUCAAGAGGCGGGGCGUGAGAGAUGAGCUGCUUUUUUUCUUCACAGGGUUGGCA
Molecule: long non-coding RNA, 553 nt
Filed under: Homo sapiens (human)
Lineage: Eukaryota; Metazoa; Chordata; Mammalia; Primates; Hominidae
Description: HSALNT0274712
Source: RNAcentral